AAUUCCUGCCGUGUCUAAUAUCCAGCAGUAGCAGCUGGAAGCAGCAUCAGAUGAAAGCAGCUUCCCCCAGAAUCCCCGAAGAAAAGUCAUGCAAAAUGUUUCCAUGAGACACCUUUCUGUGAACAGCUUUCUGUCACAUCCUGAAGAAUAGGUUUCCAGCAAGUUCUAGAAGGAAGAGUUCCAGCAAGGUAUGAGAAGUUCUUGGUGCCUCACGGGGGUCCUCUUGACGAGUGUAUCACCCUUAACUGCUGGAAGUGAUGUAAGAAGUGGCCUCUAGGAAGCUGACUCUAGAGUGGGAUUAUGGAGUCGAAAUUAUGGUAACCAGCUGGAGUGAAGCCCCCUUCUCAGACGGUAUUGAGUUGUAUGAGUUCUUUAUAUAUUUUGAAUAUUAACACCUUAUCAGACGUAUCUUUUGCGAACAUCUUCUCCCAUUCAUGAGGCUUGGAUUCUUCCACACAUGUGAUUCGAAGAAACUAUGAACGUGGAUGUUCCCCUGAUUGCCAUCGGCUCCAUAGUAGAAUCGUGCACUUGGAUUUCAGCUCACACCUAUUUACACCCCGGUGAAAUUCAGCCUAGAGAAAAAGAAGGCUCUUCUUUCGGAGAGCAGAUUUUUACAGUGGAAAAAGAAGAAGCUGUGAGGCACGUGGACCUUCCAAAUAUAAGUCAUUUAAUACUGAGUUGAAAGUAUCAAGGUAGGAUUGAUUUUCUCAAAAGGCAAAAAACAGCUCUUAUAAAUAAGCAACUUGCGAGAAUAUUAAUAUUGAUACAUUUAAAAUACAGUAGAGGUAAAACUAUCCAAGUUAUUAGGUAAGUACUUAACAUAUUUGUUGCAUGAAUUAACUAAUUAAUAUAACUUCAUAUUUCUUUAUUAUGUGUCUUGAGAAUUUUAACUAUAAGCACAAAUAAUCACUAUGAUCUAAAAAUAUGAAAGUUCAUAUUAUCAGUUAAGCUUUGAAGUAAUAUUGUUCUUAAUUUUGGACUUUCUUACCAAGAUAGCAUGUCUUUUACAUUUCAAAUGACCUGUCAGCAAACAAUAUACUGUACGGUUUCUUGGAGGGAUCUCAAGGUUAGUUUAAUUUUUCCUUAGUCUCUUUUGUCUCUAAGCUCCUGCUUUUGUUAGAACAUUAAUUAUGGAUCAUUUCAAUAUCCUUCCUAUUUGGUUCCUGUUGUGCAAAGACAGACAUGGCACACGUUCUUUGAUCUCCCUUGUGAAAAUGUCAGUCCCUAACUGAUGCUAAAUUCACUAAAUAUCAUUAAACUCAUGAAUUGUGCCAAAGGAAUUGAGGCUUUACAAUGACAGUUUGUAAGAGUUUUCCAAGUCUCUCCUUAUAGAAGUAUUCCUGAUAAUAAAUUAAGAAGUAAUGAUAAAACUGGAAUAUCACCAGUUUGCAGCUUCUAAAAUAGCAGAUAUAAGAAAUGAAUAUAUUAAUGCUUGUCAACAUUAAAAAAAAAAAAAGUCAAAAACAGAGUAAUGUCUCCUGAUGGAAGAACAUAAUACCAUUAAUGAACAAUUCUUAAAAAUAUAAAGCCUUUGGAUUUCCUGUUGCAGACGCGGCGCGGCUCGGAUCCCACAUUGCUGUGGCUGUGGCGGAGGCCAGUGGCCUCAGCUCUGAUUCGACCCCUAGCCUGGGAACCCCCAUAUGUUGCAGGUGUGGCCCUAAAAACAAACAAAUAAAGCCUUUACCUGGUGAAACCUCUGCAUCUAACCUUCAAUUUAUAGGUAAUAGAGGGGACAAUUAUAUGCAUCAGACAGUACCACAGAUACACCUGUGUGGGAUAAUCUUCAAGAAAACCACAUAAUGUGGUCAUAAUCUGGUGUAGUUAGUUGCAUUAAAAUGUUUUUGCUUUCAGUCACCAUCAAAGCUUUACCCCCAGGUACAUCAGCUCUCUCAUAUUUAGUGAUGAGAGGAUCUGGAAAGAAGGUCUGUUCCAAAGCGUAACUAGAAAUACGAGGUAUAGUUGCUAAGUCCCCGGGAGAAGGAGCCCUGCAAUUCUGCCAUGCUCCUUUUUUGUUUUAAAAUGAAUAAACUCUGUUCACUAGGAAUCUGAGAUAAAAUUGUUUCGCACUGCUGAAAUAUGUUCUUAUCUUUUGCUGAAUCUCUAUCUCCUCUCUUUUAUAGCACAUCAUUUGGGAGAAAAGAAAAAUCAGUGAUGUAGGAGCUGCUUUCUGAAAUUAUCUGUCUUAGACUCAUGGAUUAUUUGGGUCAUUGCUUUUUUUCACUGGUGGAAAAUAGAAGAAAAGUGUAUAAUGGAAGGAACAAUCCCAAUAAGAGCAGGUUAAACUUGUGCAGAAUUUUAAGCUUGAAAUAGUCUGUCAUUGUAAUCUUCAGAAUGGUUGUGAAACCAGUGUGCAGUGUACCAGAAAUUAACAAUACUGACAAAAGAGUUUCCUCAAGGUCAGGUUGCGACUGGAUGGUCUGGUGUCCUCAGCUGGAACUUUGCGACACGUGGUCUUGCAUCCUCUAGCAGGCAAACCUGAGCUUGUUCUAGCAGAGGCAGAAUACAAAAGAGAGAAGGGAAGGGAAGUAUGCCCAACGCCCUGAACUUAAACAAACAAACAACAAAAAACCUUAAAAGUGGUAACAUCACUUUCACUUUUAUUCCGUGGGCCAAAGCCAGCCACCAGUGCAGCACAAAUGUAAGGAGUAGAGAAAGAGAUUCCACCUUUUGAUGAAAACACCUCUUGAUGAGAGUUACACUGCAAAAUAUGUAUGUGUACAAAGAGAGAAAUGGAGUAUGGGAAUGAUACUGUAACCAACUUACCAUACAGUUUAAACCAAGGAAACUUUUUUGGCAUGUGAUGUCUUCCAAAAAUGAAUUUGUAGCUCUUGUCUCAGAAAUGCUAACAUACAAGGAUUUUAUCAUCCAUCUUAUUCAAUAAAUACUAAUUGAGCGC
Molecule: long non-coding RNA, 2896 nt
Filed under: Sus scrofa (pig)
Lineage: Eukaryota; Metazoa; Chordata; Mammalia; Artiodactyla; Suidae
Description: lncRNA (ENSSSCG00065014399.1)
Source: RNAcentral